Molecule: ribosomal RNA, 170 nt
Filed under: Garra sp. CBM:ZF:13954
Lineage: Eukaryota; Metazoa; Chordata; Actinopteri; Cypriniformes; Cyprinidae
Description: partial 12S rRNA
Source: RNAcentral
CACCGCGGUUAAACGAGAGGCCCUAGUUGAUAGCAUACGGCGUAAAGGGUGGUUAAGGAUUAUAUAUAAAUAAAGCCAAAUGGCCCUUCGGCCGUCAUACGCUUCUAGGUAUCCGAAACCCUAAUACGAAAGUAGCUUUAAACCCACCUGACCCCACGAAAACUGAGAAA